AACCUCUUCCUUUUUUCUAUUUCUUUUACAUUAUGAAUCACUAGUUAAGUAAUUUUAUUUAUAAAAUAAAUAACAGGUCAAUUGAUUAAUUUGAAAACCUUUAAUUUUCGGUCACAUUAACUUUUAUAAAAUCAAAUUAAAAUAAAAAUACUUAUAAAAUUGAGUAACUGCGUGUAAAAAUUAGCCCAGGAGUUCGAUUGUCACUUUCCUUAGUCAUCUGAUGUCCCUUCCUCAACCUCUUCCGCUUCUACUUUCUUGGUUGGACCAACAUCAUUGGCAACCAAAGAAGGCCGUGCCUCAAAAUCGUCCUGCUUCGCCACAGCAUCUGCUGGUAAUGUCUCAUUGACACCUUUAAAAUCCCCCGACUUUGCCACGGCACCUGUCAAUGUCUCAUUUACAGCCCCAAGAUCGCCACUAUUGUGAUUUCCUUCCAUUUCUUCAACUCUACAGUAAGCCACACAAGUGCGAGCUGGAGAGAGUAUUUUGAAGGAGUUAGGACGAUUGUUGAAGUUAGUUUCAGGCACUCCGGGUAUCCCUUCAGGUGAUGUAAAAUGGUCCACAUCAUGGCCCACUCUUCCAUGUCCACCAAAUUCAAAUGCAUCACUAUCCAAUGCAACUCUAUACUUCCCAGGCAAGUCGCACCCAACCUUGUACCCAUCAUAUGUAUUCUCCGGAUGAAAAUUGAAUACAAAAACCAGAUCCCCACGCUCAAAGACGAUAACCUUAUCCUCUUCAUUUGUGCUGCUCACAAUCUGCUUUGUUGAUGCUAGAAAUGAAUACUUUUCAUCAAGCAAGUUCAUAGCUUUGUCAAAAGCAUUCAUGAACUGAAGAAGGAAAGGAAAAUGACAAAAAGUUAAAAUUUAAAUGUUGGCAUGCUCUACUUUUGUACAAAGAAAUGGCUGACCAUAGACAAUUUGCUAAAUAAGCAGACAAUAUGAAGCAGCAGCUCAAAUUGAUGAAAACGAGUUCACAAACCUUGUAUCUCAAGUGCUCAGUGUCAACUAGGUUCCAUUGGCGUCUGCACUUGUCAUAACUCCACCCAUUGCCUUCUCUUGGGAAGUCAAUCCACUCAGGAUGGCCAAACUAAUAGAAAUAUUCAUCACAACUAAUUCAGACACUAAUCAACUAAACAUGCAUGCAUAUCCUAUCCUUUAUUUUCCUUCAUUCAAAAAAGUGUUUCUCCUAGUCCGCUUGUUGCUCUUGCUCUGUUAUGCUCAUAAUCAACAGGCUCCACAAAGUAUAUCUGACCCAAUUAAAAGUUACCGGUUGGUUCAUGUUUUGACCAUUUCAUUUCCCCCAUUUAUUUUAGGGCAAUACUCGAGAAACAUACUGAUCGCCCUAGGAUAAACCGAAGUUAUUCUAUUUCAUGAAGAAUUUAAACUUUUGAUAAGAAUGCAGAUUAAGACAUCAUGAGAAAAUAUAUAGAUCUGGCAGUUUAGUAGCCCCAAGAGUUUGGUAGACUAGAGUUGGGUUAGUGUGAUUACCUCAUUUCCCAUAAAAUUAAGGUAGCCCUCGCCCCCUAAAGCCAUAGUUAAAAGAUGAACCAUCUGCAGAAUAGAAUCACAUCAAUGAGAAAAAAUGGAAAAAAAAAUGAAGAAGAAAGGAUUCACAUUCUUAAAGUUGAGUCUGAUCGAAGGAACUCAAGAUCAGCUGUUUUCAGGACCAAGAAUAUGUCUUUGUCCCACCAUGCAAAGCUAAACAUGAAUUUUUUGCAAAGCCUCAUGGAUGGCAAUUGAUACAAAAUUAUAGUAAACAAGGAUUUAGAAACUAUGGUUGUGGUUAAAAACCACAGUAAACAGAGGAAUGUGCUCAUGAGGUUGUGUAGAUCAAACCUUAUGAAGCGCUAUCCCUCGCUCAAUCAUAGGUGAGGGAUCUGUCAAGCAAGACAUUCCAGAAUACAUUUCUUUAUCCAUUAGUAAAAAGGCAAUUGUCUUGUCACCUACAAUGGCCUGUAGAAACAAAAGAUACCAUAUUAUUAAGAAAAAAAAAUGAAAGUAGUUAAAUAUGACAAAAAUGAGCAAGUUCUCUUUGCAGGAUGUCAAAGCAGCUAUUCUUUGUCUAACUUCUUCCAGCUUCUUCUUGUCUUUACCUUUCCUUUACCUUACCAAGUAGCUUUUCUUCCUGUCUUUAUCAUUAUCUUUACCAAGUUAUUUGUAACGUUUCACAAUAGAGCAAUGGGAGAAACCACCAACAAAAAUAAUUAUGAAAAAUGAACAAACAAGAAAUUCCAGUCCUCUUACUUGAUCAUGACUCUCGGCAUAAGCAACAUAUUUCUCAGUGUGUCUUCUAUUAGUCAAGCUCCAUGAAAUUUCCUUCACUGACCACUCUUCAUCACUCUUGUUUUUCAAGUAAUCAAUCCAUUUAUCAGGGAUGGCCAUUGCUAGGCGAUAGUCAAAACCAAUUCCACCCUCAGAGACAGACCGGCCAAGCCCGGGCAUGCCAGAAACAUCUUCAGCAAUCACAGUAGCAUCUGGGAAGAUGUUGUAAAUCAGAGAAUUGGCCAGCAUCAGAUAAACAACGGCAUCAACAUCAGUUGCCUCACUGAAAUAAUCAUUAUAAUCCCCUGUAAAUACCAUGUUGAUCCCAUGGUGAUGGUAUAACAUUGAAGUUACUCCAUCAAAUCGGAAUCCAUCAAAUUUGUACUCCUCAAGCCACCAUCUUAAGUUGGACAGAAGGAAGCGAAGAACUUCCCAAUUAGCAUAAUUAAAUAGCCUGCUAUCCCAUAACUUAUGGUAGCCUCGAUCUCCAGUGUGAAAAUAGGAAUCUUGAGAGCUUUGGCCAACAUCAAAGCCAUUAAGGCCAUCAGUGAUAUUGUUACUUGCAUGACUGUGAACAACAUCCAUGAGAACACGUAAACCUAAGCUGUGGGCUUUAUCAAUUAAAUAUUUAAGAUCCUCAGGGGUUCCAGAUCUACUGCUUACAGCAAAAAAGUUGGUAACAUGGUACCCAAACGAUCCAUAAUAUGAAUGCUCCAUAACAGCCAUUAACUGAACAGUGUUAUAGUUAUUUGCUCGUAUGCGAGGCAGCACAUCAUUAGCAAAUUCUCUGUACGUAUUAAUGCAGGGUUCUGAGCUACUCAUUCCUACAUGAGCCUCGUAUAUACGUGGGGCCUUGGGUUUUGGAGGCUGAGGAUACUUAAAUUGGUACCUUUCUGAAGGUGGAGGAUCCCAGUAAACACCGUCAUAUGGUGCUCCAAAACUUGAGGGGUCCACUAUGGCAUAUCUAAUCCAAGCUGGAAUUCGAUCAACCCAAACUCCAUUACCAUGCCUGAAUCGGAAUUUGACUCUUGAAUUGUGAGGAAUGGCUGGAUUUCCACCAGAAUCAGGUAUUUUGAUACUCCAAACACCAAAUUCAUUCUUUUCCAUCCUGUGGUUGGAACCAUCCCAUCCAUUGAAGUCCCCAAUAACUUGCGCUUGCUGAGCUGCAGGUGCCCACUCACGAUAGACAAUUCCACCUUCUUCUCUAUUAAAUCCGAAUUUCAGGUAACCUUUUGAAAAUUCCUGAAGACCUCCUUCAUAUUUUUCAAUUAGCUGUUUCUGAUUUAUAUAUCUUUUCACUCUAUAUAUGAAGUGAUCUUUAAAUGGUUCCAGCCCAGGAUCAAUGCUCAAAAGCCCAAUAUUUUCCAUAUCUUCAUCAAAGCCUGUCAUUGUUGUGUUUUCAUCUGUCACAACUGCUGAGAUUGCAAGACCAUGCCUAGGUUUUGAGAUUCUUGGCCGGAAAUGGAAUUUAGGACAACCAAGCAAUUUUCGAGAUCCAAAAGUCAGUCCAAUCUGCUUUUGUUUGGCAAUGAGAUUGUUUCUUUCCACAUCCCUUUUGGAGUUCUUGGCUAUAGAAGGAGAUAAAAACCCAAAAGCAGGCGCCGGAAAUAGUCCCCAGGAACCUAACAUCUUGGCUCGCUGAGCCUCUGAAGGCCUACUUUCUCUCCCCCUCAAACCAAUGUAAGCAAACCUUAAAAUGGCCGAAACACUAAUAUACAGCUCUUCAGCAUUAAGGAGGACGUGCACCGACACGUAAGCAGCACGUGAUCAGGAAGAUUGCAGCCGUUGGUUAACUGGUCGCACAGUGAUUAUAAAAUUAUUGUGUUCCCUCUUUUCCCCUUCUCG
RNAcentral lists this unclassified non-coding RNA (4103 nucleotides) under Hevea brasiliensis (rubber tree). Lineage: Eukaryota; Viridiplantae; Streptophyta; Magnoliopsida; Malpighiales; Euphorbiaceae. The record is from RNAcentral.